Molecule: long non-coding RNA, 217 nt
Organism: Octopus sinensis (East Asian common octopus)
Lineage: Eukaryota; Metazoa; Mollusca; Cephalopoda; Octopoda; Octopodidae
Exons: 2
Source: RefSeq, a predicted model, not a curated record
AUUGAAAAAAUUCGUUAUAGGUAUAAAGACACCAUAAACAAGUAUAAAAAUAGAGAAAAGAUGUUAAAAUCAAGAUUGGAUUUAAUACAUAUGAACGUUUCAAAAGGCAAUACAAAUAUUUAUGUAUUGUCAUUCCCAUCAGUGUGAAGAAUUUCAGGAAAAACAUCCAAAAAGUUAUUAAUAAAAGUCAAUAAGGAAAAACAGAUAGGGUAAUAGG